Erinaceus europaeus (western European hedgehog) is the source of this 103-nucleotide non-coding RNA. Lineage: Eukaryota; Metazoa; Chordata; Mammalia; Eulipotyphla; Erinaceidae. The record is from Rfam.
UUCCUUCAGUAGCACAUAUGAAAAAACUAGAAUGAUACAGAAACGAUUAACAUGGCCACUGUGUAAGGAUGAUAUGCAAAUCUGUGAAGCAAUUCAUAUUUUA